RNAcentral lists this ribosomal RNA (253 nucleotides) under uncultured bacterium. RNAcentral describes it as "partial 16S ribosomal RNA". It matches the Rfam family "Bacterial small subunit ribosomal RNA", at positions 524 to 776 of the family's 1533-position model. The record is from RNAcentral.
UACGUAGGGGGCAAGCGUUGUCCGGAAUCAUUGGGCGUAAAGAGCGCGUAGGCGGUCCGGUAAGUCGGUUGUGAAAACUCGAGGCUUAACCUCGAGAUGUCGGCGGAAACCAUCUGGCUAGAGUCCGGAAGAGGAGAGUGGAAUUCCUGGUGUAGCGGUGAAAUGCGCAGAUAUCAGGAAGAACACCCGUGGCGAAGGCGGCUCUCUGGGACGGUACUGACGCUGAGACGCGAAAGCGUGGGGAGCGAACAGG